UGCACAUUCAACUGUCAGACAAAGGCAGGGAAGGCAGAUGCAAAAUAAAUCCUUCCUCGAAACCCAAAACUCAUUCUUCAGUAUGAGUUUUGAUAUAUAUAUAUAUAUAUAAGAAGGAAUAUG
This 123-nucleotide small nucleolar RNA is filed under the name Mus pahari (shrew mouse). Its description in RNAcentral is "snoRNA (MGP_PahariEiJ_G0034529.1)". Lineage: Eukaryota; Metazoa; Chordata; Mammalia; Rodentia; Muridae. The record is from RNAcentral.